UUCCCCUCAAACAAGUAGCUUGUAUAAAAUUACUCAUAACAUGAACAUGCUAAAGAAAUUCUUUUGAAUGAUGAAAAGUUACUUUGUACAUUAUAUUAAAAUUUAUUUUCUAUGUAUACCCAAAUUUUCAAGUAUUAGAUUUACUUAGAAAUUCACCAGUGUUAUCAUUAUACAAUUGGCUGGAAUUAACAGUUGCAAUACAGUUAUUCUAGCUUUUCAUAUUCAAUUUGAAUGAUCAGAAAAGUAUAUUAGUCACACAGAAUUAAAUAUUUUAGAUAGUAAGAAUCUUACACUUUAUUAGAUAAUAAAACAUAAUUGAUAUUUGCUUAAGUAACAAAAAAGUUAAGAAAUUGGGUUAUAAGCAAAGGAACAUAAGUGUAAAAUGUGUAGAAAGAUAAAUAUUUUCCAAAUAAAAUUCUAAUAAAAGGCUAAACAUUCUCAAAUAUUUUACAUACAUGAAGAAUAAAUUAUUUCUGGUUAACAUGUUUUUGCCUUAGUGCCAAAAAAGCCAGAACAAAUUUGAUAAGCUCACAUUAAAAUCAAAGUUUUCUAGAUAUGAAUUCUAUAUACCAUCUCUAUAUUUGUUUAGAAUUUUGCAAAAUUCUUAGAAGAUUGCAUGUUAGGGUGGGGGAAGAUAAAUGCUUGCCAAUACUGACAUGGUUAAUUAACAGACAGGCUUGAAAGGAGAAGGCUAGAAGAGGGAAGAUUAUGUCACUAAGCAUAGCUACAAAAGGAAAAGCCACAUGGAAGCAGAGACAAAGGCAAUCCCGACACACAGAGGCAUGUUUGUUGCGGCUCAGGGUUUCUGUUUUUCAAGUGUUCAGAGACGAAUUCCAGCAAGACUUCUGGUUUGAGUCAAGCCUUUCAACCGAGGUGCUUGGCAUACUUAACGGAAAAAGCGAGUACAUUCAGAUUUAGUUUUGCUAGAUAUUAAACUAGAAAACUGGAUGACAGUAAAACCAAUACAGAAACAAAAAGUCAUGUUUCCAGUAAAGAACCGUACACACAAGCAGGUUUUGCUUAUUAAUGUAGCAGGAGAGCAUGGAAAUCGGAGUUCAGACUCUUUAGAAAAGACAAAAGGCAGGUAUGAGAAUGUUUUGAACAACAGAAUUAAUCCAUCUAGAUUAGAAUGCUGUGUGGCAUGACCAUUCUCGAAUUUUGAAAGCCUGAGCUGGUUGUGGGCAAGGGGAUAUUCAUUAAUGACAUAAAUUUCAUUUAUGAAAUAUGUAUCCAUCAUCUAGGUAUCUUAUACAUGGAGAGCUGACUGCAUCCCUUGUAUAAAAAGUAAAUGAAGACCGGAAGGAAGCAGACUUUGUCCUGCAAACUGAAGCAAAGUUCCAUGCUAAGAAUCAGCAGGUUUUCUAGGUAGGUAAUGCCACCAGUGGAGGAUUAUUACAGUUCUCAAAUCAUGAGGGAAAGAGAUGGAGAAGAGGGAGGGAGGAGGGAAAAUCUUGCAUUCUAAGAGGUAAGAGUCCCCAUUACAAUUGCAAUGCUUCUUUAGACAGCUGAUUUUUCUGGCUGGAAGGCACAUUAAAAAUAACCCUAACAAUAACUUACCAAGACAAUGGAAAUCAAAAGAAAAGAAGGUAGACGUGCAGCUGUCUUAUUAACAUGACAACCAACUACAGCUGAAACAAUACUAUGGUACAGGGACUAGCUCAUGUUAAAGACUGGUUAUUUAGGUAAAGAGGAUCUGGUGCUCUUGGUUUAGCUUCAGUGAUUUUCCAGCACUUAUUAAAGCCAUUGUGCCCUGAACAUGGAGACCCCCAAAUCCUCUAUGUGCCAAAGAUUAAGUUGUAGAGAAUUACAUCAAUGUUUGCUGUUGGUGUGCACCACAGAUGAGACCAAGCUUCCUGGUCCGGCUAAGUGGAAUCUUCCAUGCACUGUGCACCACUCAGCUAGAAAGUCAACUAAGCAGAAAGGAGAUAAGGAAUGGCUAUGGAAUACCUGACUUCUUUAUCUUGGUUAUGUGUCCACAAUUUUCAUAAAAAUAAAUAAUACACAUUAAGUCAAAAUCUGGGCUCAAAUGUGUAACAAGAAAACAAAAGGACAACAAUCUGGUAUUCCGGUUUUUUUUUUUUUUUUGAGACGGAGUCUCGCUCUGUUGCCCAGGCUGGAGUGCAGUGACGUGAUCUCGGCUCACUACAAGCUCCGCCUCCCAGGUUCACACCUUAGCCUCCCGAGUAGCUGGGACUACAGGCGCCCGCCACCACGCCCGCCUAAUGUUUUAAUUUUUUAGUAGAGACGGGGUUUCACCGUGUUGGCCAGGCUGGUCUCGAACUCCUGACCUCAGGUAAUCCACCUGCCUCAGCCUCCCAAAGUGCUGGAAUUACAGGUGUGAGCCACCGCACCCAGCCAACAAUCUGGUAUUCUUAAGGCAAAACAGUAGAAAUCACUUUAAAUAGACACUUUAUUAGAUCCACAGGCGAUAAAAUCCCAGAGCUACUGUUAGGCACGUAAAUAUAGACCCUGUAAGAAAAAAACAAUUGAGAGUACUAUUAGUUCUAUUAAGAGUUACUUGAGGGAACAUCUUUUUUUAAGAAAACCUAAAAAAGAAAACCUAGAAACUUAGAUUGCUCACUGAUGUCCCAUAUUCCGUGAAACGCCUGCCUACUGAAAAAACAAAUCCCACACCCUUUAUUUUAUUUUCUUAUUUUAGAGACAUGGUCUCAUCUGGUACCCAGGAGGAGUGCACCAUGCAAUGGUAUGAUUACAGCUCACUGUGCCUCAAACUCCCGGGCUCAAGUGACCCUCCUGCCUCAGCCUCCCAAGAAGCUGAAGCUACAGGCAGAUGACACCAUGCCCGGCUAAAUCUUUUUGUAGAGACUAGGUCUCGCUGUGUUGCCUAGGCUAAGAAAACUUUUCAAUAAAAGUUUCGAAUAGCAAAAAUUCUGUGGUCACAAGGUCUAUGUAUAUGCACUAUAGAGACAGGAAGACACAAUUUAAUAUAAAGAACAACAUUUCACUGUUAAAUAAUGCUGUAACCUUAAAAUAUUUAAUUAAUCCAAGACGUUAAAUCUGACUUGAAAUAAUGGUUAAUUUGGGUGGGGGGUGGUACAUGAAUGUUCAUUCUCUCUUUUGGAUCAAAAAUCGCGAAAGUAAAAUAACUCCUUAAAAGGAGUUUAAGCAAUUGAAGCAGAAAGAUUACAACUGAAACACCUUCCAUUUUAUCCAUAAAAUAUUUCCUGUCUUGAAUCUCAUUAAAAUCCCUAAUAACUAUAGUUCAAUUAUAGUAUCUUAUCAAAUUUCCAAUUCUAUCAAUUAUAACGUACACAAUUACUUUAUUUACUACUAAGAAAGAAAAAGUGCCAAUUAAACUAUGAUACUUCAUCUACUGGAAAUUGUAAGAUGCUUUCCAAUUUCAGAGAUGUUAAAAUAUUUCAGAAAGUGUUGGAAUCAAUGAAAUGCAGUAUCUGUCAACGACUUAUUUUAUAAAUUUAUUUUCUUUUCAGGUUGAUUUAAAUAGAUACAAAAUAGCUUACCUGCUAAAUAUUUAAUAUU
This 3501-nucleotide long non-coding RNA is filed under the name Homo sapiens (human). RNAcentral's name for it is "HSALNT0101604". The record is from RNAcentral. Lineage: Eukaryota; Metazoa; Chordata; Mammalia; Primates; Hominidae.